This 468-nucleotide ribosomal RNA is filed under the name uncultured bacterium. RNAcentral describes it as "partial 16S ribosomal RNA". It matches the Rfam family "Bacterial small subunit ribosomal RNA", at positions 28 to 507 of the family's 1533-position model. The record is from RNAcentral.
GACGAACGCUGGCGGCGUGCUUAACACAUGCAAGUCGAACGGAAAGGCCCUGCUUUUGUGGGGUGCUCGAGUGGCGAACGGGUGAGUAACACGUGAGUAACCUGCCCUUGACUUUGGGAUAACUUCAGGAAACUGGGGCUAAUACCGGAUAAGAGCUCCUGCUGCAUGGUGGGGGUUGGAAAGUUUCGGCGGUUGGGGAUGGACUCGCGGCUUAUCAGCUUGUUGGUGGGGUAGUGGCUUACCAAGGCUUUGACGGGUAGCCGGCCUGGGAGGGUGACCGGCCACAUUGGGACUGAGAUACGGCCCAGACUCCUACGGGAGGCAGCAGUGGGGAAUAUUGCACAAUGGGCGGAAGCCUGAUGCAGCAACGCCGCGUGCGGGAUGACGGCCUUCGGGUUGUAAACCGCUUUCGCCUGUGACGAAGCGUGAGUGACGGUAAUGGGUAAAGAAGCACCGGCUAACUACGUG